Molecule: ribosomal RNA, 460 nt
Filed under: uncultured bacterium
Lineage: Bacteria
Description: partial 16S ribosomal RNA
Rfam family: Bacterial small subunit ribosomal RNA
Source: RNAcentral
CCUACGGGUGACAGCAGUGAGGAAUAUUGGUCAAUGGACGCGACUCUGAACCAGCCAAGUAGCGUGAAGGAUGACUGCCCUAUGGGUUGUAAACUUCUUUUAUAUGGGAAUAAAAUGUUCCACGUGUGGCAUUUUGUAUGUACCAUAUGAAUAAGGAUCGGCUAACUCCGUGCCAGCAGCCGCGGUAAUACGGAGGGUCCGAGCGUUAUCCGGAUUUAUUGGGUUUAAAGGGAGCGUAGGUGGAUUGUUAAGUCAGUUGUGAAAGUUUGCGGCUCAACCGUAACAUUGCAGUUGAAACUGGGAGUCGUGAGUACAGUAGAGGUGGGCGGAAUUCGUGGUGUAGCGGUGAAAUGCUUAGAUAUCACGAAGAACUCCGAUUGCGAAGGCAGCUUACUGGAGUGCAACUGACACUGAGGCUCGAAAGUGUGGGUAUCAAACAGGAUUAGAUACCCCUGUAGUC